CCCUGGGUAGUCUAAUGGUAGGACGCCACCAAUACUCGGGUUCGAUUCCCGUCGUACCCGUUUGGGUGUGUUGCUUAGUGGCUAAAGCCUGGUGGAGAUCGGAGUUCAAUCCUUCGUCCGGGGG
Molecule: non-coding RNA, 124 nt
Organism: Zopfochytrium polystomum
Lineage: Eukaryota; Fungi; Chytridiomycota; Chytridiomycetes; Chytridiales; Chytridiaceae
Source: the annotation of a GenBank genome assembly